This 77-nucleotide transfer RNA is filed under the name Gammaproteobacteria bacterium. RNAcentral's name for it is "tRNA-Val". It matches the Rfam family "tRNA". Rfam says of the family: Transfer RNA (tRNA) molecules are approximately 80 nucleotides in length. The record is from RNAcentral. Lineage: Bacteria; Pseudomonadati; Pseudomonadota; Gammaproteobacteria. RNAcentral also lists the same sequence under 1 other name.
AGAAGCGUAGCUCAGUUGGUUAGAGCACCACCUUGACAUGGUGGGGGUCGGUGGUUCGAGUCCACUCGUUUCUACCA